CCUAAUGUUGCCUAAAUAGUUGUGCAUGGAAUAAUGGAAUAGGACCUUGUUACUGUUUUGUUGGCUUUCGGUGAUCAAGGUAAUGAUCAAUGUGGACUGGCGGGGGCAUUCGUAUUGCGACGUUAGAGGUGAAAUUCUUGGAUCGUCGCAAGACGAACUAGAGCGAAAGCAUUUGCCAAGUAUGUCUUAGUUGAUCAAGAACGAAAGUUAGAGGUUCGAAGGCGAUCAGAUACCGCCCUAGUUCUAACCAUAAACGAUGUCAGCCAGCAAUCCGCCGAUGUUCCUCCGAUGACUCGGCGGGCAACCCCAGGGAAACCAAAGCUUUUGGGUUCCGGGGGAAGUAUGGUUGCAAAGCUGAAACUUAAAGGAAUUGACGGAAGGGCACCACCAGGAGUGGAGCCUGCGGCUUAAUUUGACCCAACACGGGAAACCUCACCAGGCCCAGACAUUGGAAGGAUUGACAGAUUGAUAGCUCUUUCUUGAUUCAAUGGGUAGUGGUGCAUGGCCGUUCUUAGUUGGUGGAACGAUUUGUCUGGUUAAUUCCGAUAACGAACGAGACUCUAGCCUAUUAACUAGGCGUCCGAUAUCGUGUGCUAUCGGCGAAAUAUGUUCUUCUUAAAGGGAACCGAGGCGCUCAGCCUCACGAGAUUGAGCAAUAACAGGUCUGUGAUGCCCUCAGAUGGUCUGGGCCGCACGCGCGCUACACUGAUGGAAUCAGCGUGUUCCUCCCUGGCCGAAAGGCCCGGGUAACCCGCUGAAACUCCUUCGUGCUUGGAAUUGGGGCUUGCAAUUGUUCCCCAUGAACGAGGAAUUCCCAGUAAGCGCGAGUCAUAAGCUCGCGUUGAUUACGUCCCUGCCCUUUGUACACACCGCCCGUCGCUACUACCGAUUGAAUGAUUUAGUGAGGUCUUCGGACUGGUGACAAUUGGCUCCGCUUCGGUGUAGCCGGUGUUGCCGGGAAGAUGACCAAACUUGAUCAUUUAGAGGAAGUAAAAGUCGUAACAAGGUUUCCGUAGGUGAACCUGCGGAAGGAUCAUUACCGUACGACCAUGAGAGUGGUCAGAGGUACCUGGUCCUUAUGUGGCAAAUGCUGCGUGUGCCCUGGCUAUUGCAGAGGUCUAUAUCAGCGGUCUUCGGAGCGCCGGCCUCUGCGUAUUACCUGUCGGGGCGUCGCACGCUAACAUUGGCAAAUGUCGGCCUGCGCCGACGCUGCGUCCGCCCAGGCUAUUGCGGAGGUCUAUAUCAGCGGUCCUCGGAGCGCCGGCCUCUGCGUUUACCUGUCGGGGCGUCGCACGCGAAGGCAGCGGCUGAAGGUAUCAAAUACCAAAAUUAUUACCCUGAACGGUGGAUCACUCGGCUCGUGGGUCGAUGAAGGACGCAGCGAAAUGCGCGUCAUCAUGUGAACUGCAGGACACAUGAACAUCGACAUUCCUAACGCCCAUGGCGGCCCUUGGGGUUACACCUCGAGGGCCACCCCUGUCUGAGAGUCGUAAAGUCAAACGUGACCGAGGGACGCUUUUCGCGUGCCUCGGACACUGUGACCCGUGUCGGCUUCGGUCGGCUUGUUGGAGGCGUGCUGCUUCUUAAAUAGGUUCCAGACGUGGACGACCUACCGGUCGGUCACCUUGGAGUCCGUUGCCAGACCCUCUGGGUCCGAGACCGUCGCGGCGCCUGACUCUUGUCAGGUGUCGUCUCCUAUCGCUGGCGCGGCCUACGUCCGGCGAGGCCACUUCGCUUGUUGAUGCGUACGCUCGGCUGACUGUGAUGGUCCUGUCGGCGUACAGAUACAAAGUCGAAGGAGGCCGAGCCGAUCAGGCGUUGUGUCAAAACCGGCGUGGAGGCGUGGCUUGCGGUCUCGGCAAACGAGAGUCGACAGUAGCAACGGGCGUCCCGGUGGCCGAGUGGCCGGUGGUGUCUGCCCGACUGGACCGGUCGGAGGGCUUCGGCACUCAGACCGGCACUGUCUCAGCGCCUCUAGGGGUGUGUGAGACUACUAUUGACAGCGACCUCAGAUCAGGUAAGGGUACCCGCUGAAUUUAAGCAUAUUAGUAAGCGGAGGAAAAGAAACUAACAAGGAUUCCCCUAGUAGCGGCGAGCGAACAGGGAAGAGUCCAGCACCGAAUCUUUAGCGCCCUGCGUGCUAACGAAAUGUGGUGUUUAGGAGGGUCCGUAUUCCGGGGCUCGUCUUGCCGAGUCCAAGUCCUUCUUGAACGGGGCCAUGGUCCGCAGAGGGUGCCAGACCCGUAGCGGCCGGUGGCGUCCCCGGAUGGGCCUCUCCUUAGAGUCGGGUUGCUUGAGAGUGCAGCCUAAAGUGGGUGGUAAACUCCAUCUAAGACUAAAUAUGACCACGAGACCGAUAGCAAACAAGUACCGUGAGGGAAAGUUGAAAAGAACUUUGAAGAGAGAGUUCAAUAGUACGUGAAACCGUUCAGGGGUAAACGGGGAAGACUUGAAAAUCCGAAACGAGAGAUUCACGUCUUCCGCAGGGCACGUCAAGCUUGUCCGUGGACGGCCGUACUCCCUCGCUCUGGCUUCGGCCCGGGUGAUGGUGGGUCGGUCGGCCGGUCAGGUGCGGCGGGCUCGCGGAGGGCCGCACUUCUCUCAUAGUAGGACGUCGCGACCCGUCCGGAGGCAUGCCUGAUGCCCGGCAUGAAGUCCCGAGUCAGUGGCGGCCUCACGGCCGUCGCCCUCGGGGCUGCUGAGGCAGGGUGGCGUUACGGACGGCAGUUAAAGACGGUGUCGGGCCGCUCUCUUGAGCGCUUCGGCCACUCCCGAGUUGGACGCAGAGUGCGCUGUCGGGCCCUCCCGGGCCCGCAGGGCUUCUCGCCUUGCUGUCAGGGGGUGGUUCUGAGGCCGAGUCCACAGCACCCGUCGGCGACGCCGCAGUUUCGAGCUCUUACCCGGCCCGUCUUGAAACACGGACCAAGGAGUCCAACGUGUGCGCGAGUCGUUGGGUGAAAAACCCAAUGGCGUAAUUAAGGUGAAGGGAAGUUCUCUUUCCUAGGGAGGAGUGGAGCCCGCCUUAACGGGCGGCUCCUCGCACUCCCGGGGCGUCUCUUGCUCACUGCGAGCUGAGGCGCACCUAGAGCGUUCACGUUGGGACCCGAAAGAUGGUGAACUAUGCCUGGCCAGGACGAAGCCAGGGGAAACCCUGGUGGAGGUCCGUAGCGGUUCUGACGUGCAAAUCGAUCGUCGGAGCUGGGUAUAGGGGCGAAAGACUAAUCGAACCAUCUAGUAGCUGGUUCCCUCCGAAGUUUCCCUCAGGAUAGCUGGCACCCAUGUGAGACGAGUCUCAUCUGGUAAAGCGAAUGAUUAGAGGCCUUGGGGUCGAAACGACCUCAACCUAUUCUCAAACUUUAAAUGGAUGAGAACCCCGGCUUGCUUGAUUUAGUGAAGCCGGGGCUCGGAUCCGGGUGCCAAGUGGGCCAAUUUUGGUAAGCAGAACUGGCGCUGUGGGAUGAACCAAACGCGGAGUUAAGGCGCCAAAAUCGACGCUCAUCAGACACCAUGAAAGGCGUUGGUUGCUUAAGACAGCAGGACGGUGGCCAUGGAAGUUGGAAUCCGCUAAGGAGUGUGUAACAACUCACCUGCCGAAGCAACUAGCCCUGAAAAUGGAUGGCGCUGUAGCGUCGUGCCUAUACUCCGCCGCCAACGGCAAACUCGGCGCGGUUCCCUAGUGGGACCGGUCGCUGUUAAGCCUUGGUGAGUAGGAGGGCCGCGGCGAUGUGCGUAGAAGGGUCUAGGCGUGAGCCUGCCUGGAGCCGUCGCCGGCGCAGAUCUUGGUGGUAGUAGCAAAUACUCCAGCGAGGCCCUGGAGGACUGAUGUGGAGAAGGGUUUCUUGUGAACAGCCGUUGCACAAGAGUCAGUCGGUCCUAAGCCCUAGGAGAAAUCCGAUGCCGAUGGGCGCCGUUACCAAUGCCAACGAUCUUGAUCCGAAACCACCCGAGCCGUUCCUGGGUCCGCACCGGUCCACGCCCGUCACUGGGCGAUGCUAUGCCGUGGCACAAAGGAACCGGGUUUGCGGCGCGUGGUAGGGACUAGGAUCCGAGGUCUUGACAGGUGAUGCUGGCGCCCUAGGUUGGGCGAAAGGGAAUCCGGUUCCUAUUCCGGAACCUGGCAGCGGAACCGUUCCAAGUCGUGCCCUCUGACGAGAGCUCGUCGGGGUAACCUAAAAGGACCCGGAGACGCCGUCGGGAGAUCCAGGGAGAGUUGUCUCUUCUCUAUAAGCGUUCGAGUUCCCUGGAAACCUCUAGCAGGGAGAUAGGGUUUGGAGCGCAAAGAGCACCGCAGUUACGGCGGUGUCUGGAUCUUCCCCUCGGACCUUGAAAAUCCGGGUGAGGGCUACGAGGAACACCGCGCCAGACCGUACCCAUAUCCGCAGCAGGUCUCCAAGGUCAACAGCCUCUAGUCGUUAGAAUAAUGUAGGUAAAGGAAGUCGGCAAACUGGAUCCGUAACCUUGGGAUAAGGAUUGGCUCUGAGGAUCGUGGUGAGCCGGGCUUGGUUGGGAAGUGGAGCGGUGUCAACGAUCCGGGCCUGGGCGAGGAGAGCGGCGCUACUGCGUUCGUGAUUCUCUGCUCGGUCCCGCGACUUGGCCACCCACGGAUCUUCCUUGCUGCGAGCUGCCGGCUGCCUAGUCACUGGUUUCGGCCGGAGGACGGGCCGGCUGUCUCUUCGGCCACCGAUUAACGGUCAGCUCAGAACUGGCACUGACCAGGGGAAUCCGACUGUCUAAUUAAAACAAAGCAUUGCGAUGGCCCCAGAGGGUGUUGACGCAAUGUGAUUUCUGCCCAGUGCUCUGAAUGUCAACGUGAAGAAAUUCAAUAAAGCGCGGGUAAACGGCGGGAGUAACUAUGACUCUCUUAAGGUAGCCAAAUGCCUCGUCAUCUAAUUAGUGACGCGCAUGAAUGGAUUAACGAGAUUCCCUCUGUCUCUACCUACUAUCUAGCGAAACCACAGCCAAGGGAACGGGCUUGGAAUAAUCAGUGGGGAAAGAAGACCCUGUUGAGCUUGACUCUAGUCUGGUACUGUAAGGAGACAUGAGAGGUGUAGCAUAAGUGGGAGGGUGGUUCUCCACCCGACAGUGAAAUACCACUACUUUCAUAGUUUCCUUACUUACUCGGUGAGGCGGAGGGCGUCCGUCGAUGGCCUUCAGGCCACGGCGAGACGGUCUUCUUGCGCCAAGCGCCGGGGUUGGCGCCGGCCUUCUGGAGCGUUGGUUGGCUUUGCUAGGCGCUGUCGUAAGGCACGUGCCGAUGCGGACCUCCAGCGCGUUCCGGGAGCGUCGGUUAGUCAACACACUCCCCGGCGUGAUCCGAUCCGAGGACACUGCCAGGCGGAGAGUUUGACUGGGGCGGUACAUCUGUCAAAUAAUAACGCAGGUGUCCUAAGGCCAGCUCAGCGAGGACAGAAACCUCGCGUAGAGCAAAAGGGCAAAUGCUGGCUUGAUCCCGAUGCUCAGUACGCAUAGGGACUGCGAAAGCACGGCCUAUCGAUCCUUUUAGCUUGAAGAGUUUUCAGCAAGAGGUGUCAGAAAAGUUACCACAGGGAUAACUGGCUUGUGGCAGCCAAGCGUUCAUAGCGACGUUGCUUUUUGAUCCUUCGAUGUCGGCUCUUCCUAUCAUUGCGGAGCAGAAUCCGCCAAGCGUCGGAUUGUUCACCCGCCAAUAGGGAACGUGAGCUGGGUUUAGACCGUCGUGAGACAGGUUAGUUUUACCCUUCUGAUGACUAAAAUUUUCAUUGCAACGGUAAUCCUGCUCAGUACGAGAGGAACCGCAGAUUCGGACAUUUGGUUAUGCACUCGGUCGACAGGCCGGUGGUGCCAGGCUAUCAUCCGCGGGAUUAUGCCUGAACGCCUCUAAGGCCGAAUCCCGCCUGAUAGCCCUGACAUCUAGGGGUCCCAUGGGUCGAAAGGCUCAAAACAAUGUGAAACUGUAGGUGGACCCAGUUCGGCUGGGACAUCGCACGAGCCAUAUUACCGCGGGGGCCCUCGUGUGGAAUCGGUCCGGGCUAGAGCCCGUCCGGUUCCCGGUCUCCGUGGGUAGCAUGGGUCACCCUUCGGGGAGUUCGAUGUUGGGACCCGGAAUCGUCUGUAGACGACUUAGGUACCGAUGCGGGGUGUUGUACUCGGUAGAGCAGUUGCCAUGCUGCGAUCUGUUGAGACUUCGCCCUGGCUCGGGGGUUCGGCGUCUUUGCGUCGUACUUCCGAGUGGUACCACUUAAACCGUGUCUGGAGUCAGAGUGCCAUUAACCAAAAGUCUUAAGAAUCCAAAGACGUGUGCGUAUACAUAAGUCAUCAGUUGGGACACAAGUUCUAGGGUGAACGUUCGAUUGCUUUGGUGGACAAUGCUCGCUCAGAGUGUCGGUCGGUCUGGACGUUGGUUGGCUCGGGGCUUGGCUCCGUUGACAACCUGGCACCCAGCCGACGCGACUCUCAGUUCAGUAACCAUCGAAGGUGACGCAGCAACCUUGGCUGUCAGUGAAAGAUCUUGGUGGCAAAUAAAGUGGCGGUGGAUUUUUCCGUGACCUCGCAAUGCGAGGCCAGGGGAAGAUCCUAGUCACGAUGUCGUUGUCAGGGUGAGGCAGACACCUUGGCAAUCCGAUGACAAGGCAAACAAAUGUCGCCGCCCGCCGACGGUGCGUGCGCCCUGGCUAUUGUGGGGGUCUAUAUCAGCGCUCCCCGGAGCGCCGGCCGCCACGUUUCACCUGUCGGGGCGAAGGCCGCGGUGGCUAAAGCGAUCGUGGCGGUGGAUUUUUCCGAGACCUUGCACUGCAGGGCUAGGGGAAGUUCGUCGUCACGAUGUCGUUGUCAGGGUGAGGCAGACACCUUGGCAAUCCGAUGACAAGGCAAACAAAUGUCGCCGCCCGCCGACGGUGCGUGCGCCCUGGCUAUUGUGGGGGUCUAUAUCAGCGCUCCCCGGAGCGCCGGCCGCCACGUUUCACCUGUCGGGGCG
This 6952-nucleotide ribosomal RNA is filed under the name Microvelia pulchella. RNAcentral's name for it is "partial 28S ribosomal RNA". The stretch from base 2004 to 6185 matches the Rfam family "Eukaryotic large subunit ribosomal RNA". Lineage: Eukaryota; Metazoa; Arthropoda; Insecta; Hemiptera; Veliidae. The record is from RNAcentral.